This 231-nucleotide ribosomal RNA is filed under the name uncultured bacterium. RNAcentral's name for it is "partial 16S ribosomal RNA". It matches the Rfam family "Bacterial small subunit ribosomal RNA", at positions 103 to 334 of the family's 1533-position model. The record is from RNAcentral.
CGGGUGAGUAACACGUAUCCAACCUGCCGUCUACUCUUGGACAGCCUUCUGAAAGGAAGAUUAAUACAAGAUGGCAUCAUGAGUCCGCAUGUUCACAUGAUUAAAGGUAUUCCGGUAGACGAUGGGGAUGCGUUCCAUUAGAUAGUAGGCGGGGUAACGGCCCACCUAGUCUUCGAUGGAUAGGGGUUCUGAGAGGAAGAUCCCCCACAUUGGAACUGAGACACGGUCCAA